RNAcentral lists this long non-coding RNA (1254 nucleotides) under Gossypium raimondii (Peruvian cotton). RNAcentral describes it as "long non-coding RNA (GRAI_LNC010184)". The record is from RNAcentral. Lineage: Eukaryota; Viridiplantae; Streptophyta; Magnoliopsida; Malvales; Malvaceae.
UUUAAUAAUACUAAGAUAGUUACAAUUUAACAAAUAAAUACCUCUAAAAUAGUAGUAAAAUUAACAAUAAUAUAAAAGGUAUAGAAUAUUCGAACAAUAAUAACAAUAUAAUAGCAAUAUAAUAGCAAAAUUGUAGCAAAACAACAACAAAAUAGUUGAUUCGAUCUGGGCAUGGAAAAAAAAUCUUCCCAAUGUUGGAUCUGUUUAGAAAACAGACUUUAUUUUUUAGGCUUAUAUUUUUACCCAAUUUCUUCCACUUUCUGGAUGAACUUUCGGAUUUGGACAGGUGAUCGACCCAUGAUCAAGUCUAGUUUUGGUUAGGUUUUCUUUGAGGUUGUCUUUCAUGCUUUAGUUUCUCUUUACUUUAUGUUUCUCUUUCAAGUGUGAUGGUCUUAUCACCUCACCUUUUCGAAGAAGUAAAUCAAUUCUCACUGAAAUUGUCUAGCUUCCGAUUAGUUAACCUUCCUCCACCAUAAAGCAUUUCAAGCUUGUGGAGCAUUUGUAGGACGUUAAACGCAGCAUGAAGGCUAUUGUGGUUGGGGUGGCCUUCAUCUUUCUCAAUCACUUGGGAUUUUGAUGGGGUUCAUCUUCUUCCUACUCGACUUUUGGUGGUUGAUCUAGGAUUGUAUUGAGUUCCAUGUAUCUUAGCUGUUGUCCUUUGUUGUAAGCCAUUUAUGACAUUUGUUGCUAAAAUCAUCUGUGGUUUUUAUUUCAGUGUCAUCUAUGAUCAUUUUGGUUUGGUUGUUUGUGGCCUCAUUCAUUUAAGUUAUCUGUAAUUUAAUCUCUUUGAAUUGUUUGGUUGUCAUGUAAUUCCUACUCCGUCAAUGAAUAGUUUGCAAUGAAAAAGAAAAUAAUCCUAGCGAUUGAGUCUUAGUUUUGUCAACGCAGGAGGUCGUGGAUUUGAGUGCGCUGGAGUGCAUUAUCAUCUUAUUUAAGAGUUGAAAAGAAACAAUGCCUAAUUUUUAAGUAUUGUAUAAAAAAAAUCAUAUUAUUUUCACAAUGAAGGGUUUGAAAUGGAUUGGGUCUUGAAGGGUACAUAAAUGAAAACCCAAUAAAAGCUUGGGCUAUGAGAAAAAACCAAUGACCAUAGAAACCCAAACUCCUAGUUGGGAUUAGCUAUCACAUUGUUGGUGCAUUUUAGGUCAAAUUUUUGAUUUGGUCCCUCAACUACGCUAGUUAGAAUUUAGUCUUAAUAGUUAGUCCAAAUUACAUCUAAAGUGUUGACGUGGAAGGUUUUCAGGAAAAAAAAACCCA